This 504-nucleotide ribosomal RNA is filed under the name uncultured bacterium. RNAcentral's name for it is "bacterial SSU rRNA". It matches the Rfam family "Bacterial small subunit ribosomal RNA", at positions 28 to 517 of the family's 1533-position model. The record is from RNAcentral.
GAUGAACGCUAGCUACAGGCUUAACACAUGCAAGUCGAGGGGAAACGAUAGAGAAAGCUUGCUUUUUCUAGGCGUCGACCGGCGCACGGGUGAGUAACGCGUAUCCAACCUGCCCAUCACUUGGGGAUAACCUUGCGAAAGUAAGACUAAUACCCAAUGACGUCUCUAGAAGACAUCUGAAAGAGAUUAAAGAUUUAUCGGUGAUGGAUGGGGAUGCGUCUGAUUAGCUUGUUGGCGGGGUAACGGCCCACCAAGGCGACGAUCAGUAGGGGUUCUGAGAGGAAGGUCCCCCCACAUUGGAACUGAGACACGGUCCAAAACUCCUACGGGAGGCAGCAGUGAGGAAUAUUGGUCAAUGGACGAGAGUCUGAACCAGCCAAGUAGCGUGCAGGAUGACGGCCCUAUGGGUUGUAAACUGCUUUUAUAAGGGAAUAAAGUGAGUCUCGUGAGACUUUUUGCAUGUACCUUAUGAAUAAGGACCGGCUAAUUCCGUGCCAGCAGCCG